GCUUUCUAAGGUGAAGAUACCACUGCACGACAUGCUGACUUCAGUGCUUGCUUUGGAAGAUUCAGCAUUAGAUAUUGAUCAGGUGGAGAACCUGAUUAAGUUUUGCCCAACAAAAGAGGAAAUCGAAGUGCUCAAGGGUUAUAAAGGAGAAAAAGAGAAGUUGGGUAGAUGUGAACAGUUUAUGUUAGAACUGAUGCAAGUCCCACGAAUAGAGUCCAAGCUACGGGUUUUCUCAUUUACGAUUCAGUUUCAAUCCCAGGUUUCUGAGCUAAG
Molecule: unclassified non-coding RNA, 273 nt
Filed under: Hevea brasiliensis (rubber tree)
Lineage: Eukaryota; Viridiplantae; Streptophyta; Magnoliopsida; Malpighiales; Euphorbiaceae
Source: RNAcentral